AUCCUUCUAUACUUUGUAAGUGUAAUGACUGGGCAUUCAUACUGUCAUGUGAGAUGUGCCUCCCUUAAACCUUGGCACAACACUGCCAUAAUACCUGUCUGACA
Molecule: small nucleolar RNA, 104 nt
Organism: Artibeus jamaicensis (Jamaican fruit-eating bat)
Lineage: Eukaryota; Metazoa; Chordata; Mammalia; Chiroptera; Phyllostomidae
Product: small nucleolar RNA U13
Exons: 1
Source: RefSeq, a predicted model, not a curated record